UACGGAGGGGGCUAGCGUUGUUCGGAAUUACUGGGCGUAAAGCGCACGUAGGCGGCUUUGCAAGUUAGAGGUGAAAGCCCGGGGCUCAACUCCGGAAUUGCCUUUAAAACUGCAUCGCUAGAAUUGUGGAGAGGUAAGUGGAAUUCCGAGUGUAGAGGUGAAAUUCGUAGAUAUUCGGAAGAACACCAGUGGCGAAGGCGGCUUCCUGGACCGACACUGACGCUGAGGCGCGAAAGCUAGGGGAGCAAACGGG
RNAcentral lists this ribosomal RNA (253 nucleotides) under uncultured bacterium. Its description in RNAcentral is "partial 16S ribosomal RNA". It matches the Rfam family "Bacterial small subunit ribosomal RNA", at positions 524 to 776 of the family's 1533-position model. The record is from RNAcentral.